UACGGAGGGUGCGAGCGUUGUCCGGAUUUAUUGGGGUUAAAGGGUGCGUAGGCGGCCCCGUAAGUCGGCGGUGAAACCCACGGGCUCAACCCGUGGCGUGCCGACGAUACUGCGGGGCUUGGGUCGUCUCUGGGCGGGCGGAAUGGAAGGUGUAGCGGUGAAAUGCAUAGAUAUCGGAAGGAACAUCAGUGGCGAAAGCGACUUCCUGGACCAGUACCGACGUUCAGGCACGAAAGCGUGGGGAGCAAACAGG
This 253-nucleotide ribosomal RNA is filed under the name uncultured bacterium. RNAcentral's name for it is "partial 16S ribosomal RNA". It matches the Rfam family "Bacterial small subunit ribosomal RNA", at positions 524 to 776 of the family's 1533-position model. The record is from RNAcentral.